This 726-nucleotide ribosomal RNA is filed under the name uncultured bacterium. Its description in RNAcentral is "bacterial SSU rRNA". It matches the Rfam family "Bacterial small subunit ribosomal RNA", at positions 789 to 1515 of the family's 1533-position model. The record is from RNAcentral.
GGUAGUCCACGCCGUAAACGAUGUCGACUUGGAGGUUGUGCCCUUGAGGCGUGGCUUCCGGAGCUAACGCGUUAAGUCGACCGCCUGGGGAGUACGGCCGCAAGGUUAAAACUCAAAUGAAUUGACGGGGGCCCGCACAAGCGGUGGAGCAUGUGGUUUAAUUCGAUGCAACGCGAAGAACCUUACCUACUCUUGACAUCCAGAGAACUUUCCAGAGAUGGAUUGGUGCCUUCGGGAACUCUGAGACAGGUGCUGCAUGGCUGUCGUCAGCUCGUGUUGUGAAAUGUUGGGUUAAGUCCCGCAACGAGCGCAACCCUUAUCCUUUGUUGCCAGCGGUUAGGCCGGGAACUCAAAGGAGACUGCCAGUGAUAAACUGGAGGAAGGUGGGGAUGACGUCAAGUCAUCAUGGCCCUUACGAGUAGGGCUACACACGUGCUACAAUGGCGCAUACAAAGAGAAGCGACCUCGCGAGAGCAAGCGGACCUCAUAAAGUGCGUCGUAGUCCGGAUUGGAGUCUGCAACUCGACUCCAUGAAGUCAGAAUCGCUAGUAAUCGUAGAUCAGAAUGCUACGGUGAAUACGUUCCCGGGCCUUGUACACACCGCCCGUCACACCAUGGGAGUGGGUUGCAAAAGAAGUAGGUAGCUUAACCUUCGGGAGGGCGCUUACCACUUUGUGAUUCAUGACUGGGGUGAAGUCGUAACAAGGUAACCGUAGGGGAACCUGC